RNAcentral lists this ribosomal RNA (429 nucleotides) under Pseudomonadota bacterium. RNAcentral describes it as "Proteobacteria bacterium partial 16S ribosomal RNA". It matches the Rfam family "Bacterial small subunit ribosomal RNA", at positions 355 to 776 of the family's 1533-position model. Lineage: Bacteria; Pseudomonadati; Pseudomonadota. The record is from RNAcentral.
UGGGGAAUAUUGGACAAUGGGCGAAAGCCUGAUCCAGCCAUGCCGCGUGUGUGAAGAAGGUCUUCGGAUUGUAAAGCACUUUAAGUUGGGAGGAAGGGCAGUAAGCGAAUACCUUGCUGUUUUGACGUUACCGACAGAAUAAGCACCGGCUAACUCUGUGCCAGCAGCCGCGGUAAUACAGAGGGUGCAAGCGUUAAUCGGAAUUACUGGGCGUAAAGCGCGCGUAGGUGGUUCGUUAAGUUGAAUGUGAAAGCCCCGGGCUCAACCUGGGAACUGCAUCAAAAACUGGCGAGCUAGAGUAGGGCAGAGGGUGGUGGAAUUUCCUGUGUAGCGGUGAAAUGCGUAGAUAUAGGAAGGAACACCAGUGGCGAAGGCGACCACCUGGGCUCAUACUGACACUGAGGUGCGAAAGCGUGGGGGGCAAACAAG